Acanthosepion pharaonis is the source of this 110-nucleotide non-coding RNA. Lineage: Eukaryota; Metazoa; Mollusca; Cephalopoda; Sepiida; Sepiidae. The record is from the annotation of a GenBank genome assembly.
UUAUGGCCAUAUCAUGUUGAAACACCAGUUCCUGUACAAUCACCAAAGUGAAGCAACAUUGAGCCUGGUCAGUAGAUGGGUGACCACUUGGAAAUACCAAGUGCUGUAAG